This 492-nucleotide ribosomal RNA is filed under the name uncultured bacterium. RNAcentral describes it as "partial 16S ribosomal RNA". It matches the Rfam family "Bacterial small subunit ribosomal RNA", at positions 30 to 507 of the family's 1533-position model. The record is from RNAcentral.
AUUGAACGCUGGCGGCAUGCUUUACACAUGCAAGUCGAACGGUAACAGGCCUUCGGGUGCUGACGAGUGGCGAACGGGUGAGUAAUGCAUCGGAACGUGCCCAGAGGUGGGGGAUAACGCAGCGAAAGCUGUGCUAAUACCGCAUGUGAUCUGAGGAUGAAAGCGGGGGACCAGGCAGCAAUGUUUGGCCUCGCGCCUUUGGAGCGGCCGAUGUCAGAUUAGGUAGUUGGUGGGGUAAAGGCCUACCAAGCCGACGAUCUGUAGCUGGUCUGAGAGGACGACCAGCCACACUGGGACUGAGACACGGCCCAGACUCCUACGGGAGGCAGCAGUGGGGAAUUUUGGACAAUGGGCGCAAGCCUGAUCCAGCAAUGCCGCGUGCGGGAAGAAGGCCUUCGGGUUGUAAACCGCUUUUGUACGGAACGAAAAGGCUCUGGCUAAUACCUGGGGCUGAUGACGGUACCGUAAGAAUAAGCAUCGGCUAACUACGUG